AGUGAACGCUGGCGGUAGGCCUAACACAUGCAAGUCGAACGGCAGCACAGUAAGAGCUUGCUCUUACGGGUGGCGAGUGGCGGACGGGUGAGGAAUACAUCGGAAUCUACUUUUUCGUGGGGGAUAACGUAGGGAAACUUACGCUAAUACCGCAUACGACCUACGGGUGAAAGCAGGGGAUCUUCGGACCUUUCGCGAUUGAAUGAGCCGAUGUCGGAUUAGCUAGUUGGCGGGGUAAAGGCCCACCAAGGCGACGAUCCGUAGCUGGUCUGAGAGGAUGAUCAGCCACACUGGAACUGAGACACGGUCCAGACUCCUACGGGAGGCAGCAGUGGGGAAUAUUGGACAAUGGGCGCAAGCCUGAUCCAGCCAUACCGCGUAGGUGAAGAAGGCCUUCGGGUUGUAAAGCCCUUUUGUUGGGAAAGAAAAGCAGCAGGUUAAUACCCCGCUGUUCUGACGGUACCCAAAGAAUAAGCACCGGCUAACUUCGUG
RNAcentral lists this ribosomal RNA (492 nucleotides) under uncultured bacterium. RNAcentral's name for it is "partial 16S ribosomal RNA". It matches the Rfam family "Bacterial small subunit ribosomal RNA", at positions 29 to 507 of the family's 1533-position model. The record is from RNAcentral.